GUUAUUAAUGGGUUAAAUAUUGUGAGUAAGUGAAUUAAUGGAAACAAAAAAAUAUGGCGGUACUUUAAGCUUAUCAGAGGAAUUUUCUCUGUAAUGGAUAAAACACCUGAAUCUUACUAAAGUUAGUUAAAUCAGCUUGUAUACCACUAUAAGAGUAAUAAUUUAUUAUUAUUUCUAUAAUUUUUUCAUAAAAAAAUAAAUUAAGUCAUGGUGCAGCAAAAAUUUUAGAAUGAAGUGAAUUACAUUUCUUUUAAGAAAAAAAAAUUGAAAAAUUAUAUUAGGAUUUGAAAGUAAAUAAAUAAUAACAUGAUUUAUUGAAUUUAGCUCUAAAGUAUGUAC
RNAcentral lists this ribosomal RNA (339 nucleotides) under Amblyomma triguttatum (ornate kangaroo tick). RNAcentral's name for it is "partial small subunit ribosomal RNA". Lineage: Eukaryota; Metazoa; Arthropoda; Arachnida; Ixodida; Ixodidae. The record is from RNAcentral.